UGGUGCCCAAUGUGUGUGGCCCGGGUAUGAGGGCUUCAGUGAGGAACGUCGCAGAGAAGGGAAAUCUCAAGAAAAGAGACAGAACAGAGGAAGUGGUUAGACUGGAGCCUGCCACCAUAAGGAGACCUGAGUAAGUGAGCGACAAUUAUGGGACACGACAUGAGCCAACAUGAGCUAUUUGUUGAAGUCCUCAAAAAGGCACUUAAGGCGUGAGGGGUUAGACACCAGAAUUGUUGAAAUUUUUUAUAUUUAUUAAGGAAGUUUGUUCUU
Cricetulus griseus (Chinese hamster) is the source of this 270-nucleotide non-coding RNA. The record is from Rfam. NCBI's taxonomy places the organism in Eukaryota, Metazoa, Chordata, Mammalia, Rodentia, Cricetidae.